CGCUGAAGGAAUACCUGCCAGAAUGUGCAGCAUUUCUGCUCUUGCAGGACGGAUAAAACAUCUCCCCUGCUGCAUACAUGCAGUCUGGAGCCAGCAGGGAUGGGGCCAGCAGCUCCAGAGGGCACGUUUAGGAGAAGGACAUCCCUGCUCCGAGGUACACAAAUACUGAGGGGUCACAACAAGGCUGGAGGAAAGUAACUUUGUGUUGUGGAGAGCUGACUGCAGUGCAGUGGGAGGCAGUGCCAAGAUCCUGAAAAAUCCAACCUAUCUGGCACGGUCUAAAAGGUCAUCUUUGGGGAAUCCGCUGCUGCUCCUCCUGAAACUUGAGGCCUGAUGAGAUGGAGCUGUGGCUCUGACAUGAGAAUACAAAGACUGUGGAAAAGAUUCAUUUUGACUGACCUGCCUUGAAUUCUAAAAAAGCAAAUUCCUGAGGUCGUCUGAAUUUGAGGGAUGUCUGCCUGAGAUUAUCAGCACCACAGUCAUCGGAACAAAACCAAGGUUUAUUAAACCCAGACAGAACAUGAAAUCCAAGAGAGAGAAUCAGUUUGCAUAACAAAUCUCAUGAGAUUUGCAUUU
Molecule: long non-coding RNA, 576 nt
Organism: Calidris pugnax (ruff)
Lineage: Eukaryota; Metazoa; Chordata; Aves; Charadriiformes; Scolopacidae
Exons: 4
Source: RefSeq, a predicted model, not a curated record